This 451-nucleotide ribosomal RNA is filed under the name uncultured bacterium. Its description in RNAcentral is "bacterial SSU rRNA". It matches the Rfam family "Bacterial small subunit ribosomal RNA", at positions 29 to 524 of the family's 1533-position model. The record is from RNAcentral.
AACGAACGCUGGCGGCAUGCCUAACACAUGCAAGUCGAACGAGACCUUCGGGUCUAGUGGCGCACGGGUGCGUAACGCGUGGGAAUCUGCCCUUCGGUUCGGAACAACAGUUAGAAAUGACUGCUAAUACCGGAUAAUGACGUAAGUCCAAAGAUUUAUCGCCGAAGGAUGAGCCCGCGUAAGAUUAGGUAGUUGGUGGGGUAAUGGCCUACCAAGCCGACGAUCUUUAGCUGGUCUGAGAGGAUGAUCAGCCACACUGGGACUGAGACACGGCCCAGACUCCUACGGGAGGCAGCAGUGGGGAAUAUUGGACAAUGGGCGAAAGCCUGAUCCAGCAAUGCCGCGUGAGUGAUGAAGGCCUUAGGGUUGUAAAGCUCUUUUACCAGGGAUGAUAAUGACAGUACCUGGAGAAUAAGCUCCGGCUAAACUCCGUGCCAGCAGCCGCGGUAAU